UGAGGCAUCACUGUGCAUAAAAACUACCGAACUGGCUCAGAUCAAUGGUCUGUCUUGUCCAGUAUUUUGCCUUUUAAAGGACUUAAAAGAAUAUGCAAUUUGGAGACAGAAGUAUCUGGAUUUGGGGCUUGUUUCUACCACUUUGAACUGCAAGACCAAGUUAUUUAUCUACUCCCAGCCUCAAUGUACUCAUCUGUAAGACCGCACUAAUAAUACCUUCUUCUUGGUGAUAUUGUGAAAAUUCAACCAGAUGCUAUCUUUAAAAAUACUUUAUAGACUGUUCUGCAGUCUAAGUAUGUGAAUUAA
This 306-nucleotide long non-coding RNA is filed under the name Homo sapiens (human). RNAcentral's name for it is "non-protein coding lnc-DNAH6-5:1". Lineage: Eukaryota; Metazoa; Chordata; Mammalia; Primates; Hominidae. The record is from RNAcentral.